This 443-nucleotide ribosomal RNA is filed under the name uncultured bacterium. RNAcentral describes it as "partial 16S ribosomal RNA". It matches the Rfam family "Bacterial small subunit ribosomal RNA", at positions 338 to 795 of the family's 1533-position model. The record is from RNAcentral.
CCUACGGGAGGCAGCAGUGGGGAAUAUUGGGCAAUGGGCGCAAGCCUGACCCAGCAACGCCGCGUGAAGGAAGAAGGUUUUCGGGUUGUAAACUUCUUUUCUGAGGGACGAAGAAAAUGACGGUACCUCAGUAAUAAGCCACGGCUAACUACGUGCCAGCAGCCGCGGUAAUACGUAGGUGGCAAGCGUUAUCCGGAUUGACUGGGGGUAAAGGGCGUGUAGGGGGUAUAGUAAGUUGGCUGUGAAAUCCCAGGGCUCAACCCUGGGCCUGCAGUUGAAACUGUUAGUCUUGAGUGCUGGAGGGGGAAGCGGAAUUCCGGGUGUAGCGGUGAAAUGCGUAGAUAUACGGAGGAACACCAGGGGCGAAGGCGGAUUACUGGACAGUAACUGACGCUGAGGCGCGAAAGCGUGGGGAGCAAACAGGAUUAGAUACCCGAGUAGUC